CGCGUAGGCGGCCUGCUAAGUCGAACGUGAAAUCCCUGGGCUCAACCCAGGAACUGCGUCCGAUACUGGUUGGCUUGAAUCCGGGAGAGGGAUGUGGAAUUCCAGGUGUAGCGGUGAAAUGCGUAGAUAUCUGGAGGAACACCGGUGGCGAAGGCGACAUCCUGGACCGGUAUUGACGCUGAGGCGCGAAAGCCAGGGAGCAAACG
This 206-nucleotide ribosomal RNA is filed under the name uncultured bacterium. RNAcentral describes it as "partial 16S ribosomal RNA". It matches the Rfam family "Bacterial small subunit ribosomal RNA", at positions 568 to 774 of the family's 1533-position model. The record is from RNAcentral.